UACGGAGGGGGCGAGCGUUAAUCGGAAUAACUGGGCGUAAAGGGCACGCAGGCGGGCUUUUAAGUGAGAUGUGAAAUCCCAGGGCUUAACCUGGGAAUAGCAUUUCAGACUGGGAGUCUUGAGUGCUUUAGGGAGGGGUAGAAUUCCACGUGUAGCGGUGAAAUGCGUAGAGAUGUGGAGGAAUACCGACGGCGAAGGCAGCUCCUUGGCAAUGUACUGACGCUGAUGUGCGAAAGCGUGGGGAGCAAACAGG
This 253-nucleotide ribosomal RNA is filed under the name uncultured bacterium. RNAcentral describes it as "partial 16S ribosomal RNA". It matches the Rfam family "Bacterial small subunit ribosomal RNA", at positions 524 to 776 of the family's 1533-position model. The record is from RNAcentral.